AUGACAAGAUACAUAGUAAUGUUUAAAACCUUUGCCAUUGCAUCCUCUAUCCUCACAGCUCAUUCUGAUGAAUCUCUGAAGGGUACAGACAAAUCAUCCAUCUCCAGCCUGACCAGGGUUCCUUCUGCACCUCGCAGUGAGAGAGGGAAAGAAUUAACAAUUUCACCUAAAUCCAGUCUGGCCAGGCUCUCCUCUGCCUCUGUAGAUGAGAGAGCAGCUGAAUCAACUUCAAGAGAAGUCUACAGUAAUGUGGAGGAGCUACUGGUGCCUCCGACUGCUUCUGUUGGCAGGGCUUUGGCAUUAGUGACUGCUGCAAGACAUUCUGGAAGGGCUUUAUCAGGAAGAGCUUUCUCUGAAACAGAACUAGUGGAUGCAGCACACAGAGUGUCCUCAGUCAGGAUACCCAGUAGAGGGGAGAGUGUGAGGAGAACAGCAGAGACACCAGAGAGACACACUUCCUCAGUAUCUCCACAUGCAUCUUCAGUGUCAGAGUGCCCAGUGAUGUUUGAAAAAGAGGACUGGUGUGUAAUCACCAUUCCCUCUGCUCCAGUGAAGAAAGCAGUCAAAUUCAACCCCUUCGAAGAGAUCUCACCUAUUACUUCACCCAGCAUAGAGUUAGCUUGGGAGGAGCUUCUACAGACAUCAGAAUCCAUCGUUGAUAAAGUAGCCUUCAAGACUUUAGAGAUUGUAAACAAACAAUUACAAUGCUCAAGGAGGGAGAUCUCUGAAAUGGCCCCAUCUGACCCUGUGGUUGUGUCUCAGUCUCUAAACGUACUUUCUUAUGAUGAUCUCUCUUACUCGCCUUCAGCUGUGGAGGAAUUCUCUACUGCCUCGGCAAGAUGCUCAGAAGGUGAUGUCACUGAAGGAUUCUCUACUGCCUCGGCAAGAUGCUCAGAAGGUGAUGUCACUGAAGGAUUCUCUACUGCCUCGGCAAGAUGCUCAGAAGGUGAUGUCACUGAAGGAUCUCACUCUGAAACAGCAGUAGAGAGUGAAGCAAUCUCUGUGAGGGAGAUUUCACCAGCAGUGACUGCGAGGUGUUCUGCCAGUGACGAAUCAGAACGAGUUCCCUCUGAAACAGCAGUUUUGGGAGCAGCAGCGCCAUCAAUGGAGGAGUUAUCAGAGUCACCAACUGCAUUAGUCUUUGAGGGUGGGAUUUCACCAGCGGUGUUGGCCAAUGAUGUAUCAGAAAGAGCUCCCUCUGAAACAUCAGUAGAGGGAGCUGAGGCUUCAGAGAGACACACAUCUCUCAGUGUAUCUCCACAGACUUCAUUUGUGUCAGCGCAUUCUGAAGAAUCACUGAAGGCUAAAGACUUGUCACCUCCAUCCAGUCUGGCCAGGAUUCCCUCUGCACAUCUCAGUGAUGGUGUGUCACCAGCAGUGUCUGCAAGAUGUUCUGCUAGUGACUUACUAGAAAGAGCUUCCUCUGAAACAACAAAGCCCAGAGUGAUCCCCUCUGCACCAUCAAUGGAUGAGCUAUUGGUAUUACCAACUGCUUCUGUUGUUGGGAUUUCAACAGCAGUGUCUGCAAGAUCUUCAAGAGGGAGUUUUGCAGAAAGAGCUCCCUCAGAAACAACAGUGGAGGGGGUAAAAUAUUCUGAAAGUGGUUUAUCAGGAAGACCUUUCUCUGAAACGGAACUAGUGGAUGCAGCACACAGAGUGUCCUCAGUCAGGAUACCCAGUAGAGAGGAGAGUGUGAGGAGAACAGCAGAGACACCAGAGAGACACUCAUCUCCCAGAGUAUCUCCACAGACAUCUUCAGUGUCAGCUACACGCAUGUCAUCUAAGCCCAGCCUGUCUAGGGUCCCCUCUGUGUCUCUCAGUGAUGGUGCAGCAGAGUCAGUCUCUAUGGAAGUCAUCUCUAAUGUGGAGGAUAUUUAUACAGCACCAUCAGUGGAGCAGAUUGUGUCUUCAACUGCUGCUGUGGUCGGCAUUUCACCAGCAGCGUCUGCUAGAUGUUCCUCAAAUGACAUGUCUGGAAGAACUUGUUUCGAAGCAGCAGUAGUGGGAGCAGAGAUACCAGAGAAACACACCUCUCCAAAAGUUUCUCCACAGACAUCUUUAAUGUCAGGUAAAGUAAUUCAUGAUUUAUUAAAUACAUUAAGAUUGCUGCGUUAAUAAGGUCCAUAUCACCUUUUCGGUAAAAGUGGGAAGUUUAAAAUAUUGUUCUAAUUUUUACUUUGUCGCCCCAUCUCUAGCUCAUGUUGGUGAAUCUAUGAGAGGUACAGACAUUUCACCUAAAUCUAGUCUGGACAGGAUUUCCUCUAUUGGUGAAAGAGCAGCAGAAUCAGCUUCUAGAGAAGUGAUGUAUAUGGAGGAGAUGUAUAAAGCAUCAAUGGCAGAACUACCAGGGCCUCCAGCUGCUGUUGGAGGUAUUUCACAAACAGUGUCUGCUAGAUGUUCACAAGGUGACAUGGCAGAAAGAGCCCCCUCUGAAACAGUAGUAGGGAGAGACACAUCUUCCAGAGUUUCUCCUAGGGUUUCUCCACAAACAUCUGUGAGCUCAGGUAAAGUGUUAAACUAUCUUGAAUGAAAUAUAAGGUUGUUAUGUCAGUAUUAUGGGCAAAAUGAAUUGUGAAAUACCACAGAAUACUUCAAUCUGGUCUGUCUUUUCACAACUCAUGUUGAUGUUACUCCAACAGCUACAGGCUUGUCAUCUAAGUUCAGUCUUGCCAGGGUUCCCUCUGUGUCUCUCAGGGAUGGUGCAACCGAACCAGCUCAGAUAGACAACGAAACACUGUCAAUGGAGGAGCUUAUGACGUCUCCAUUGUAUUCUCAUUGGUCACCAGCCGGUUCUGAAAGUGACUUAUUAGGCUUAAAAGGAGCUCCCUCUGAAACAGCAGUGGAUGGAGCACACAGAGGGUUCUUGGUAACGAUACCCAGUAGAGAGGAGAGUGUGAUGAGAACAGCAGAGACACCAGAGAGAGACACAUCUCCCAGUGUUUCUCCACAGACUUCGUUUACAGGUGUUGUUUCUGAUGUGACAGUUUUCUACAGAGAUUCAUCUGUGGGAGAAUUGCAUCUUUCUCCAUCUGUUGGUGAGGAACUUGUGGUGGAGGCUUACGAAUUACCAUCACUGGAGAAGAAGGAGACUCCAUCUACUUCAGUUGGUAGACUUUCACCAGUAGUGUCUGCAAGAUAUACUGGAAGUGGUUUAACAAGAAGAGCUUUCUCUGAAAAAGAAGUAACGAGACCAGAGACACCAGAUAGACACAUGUCUCCCAGACUUUCUCCUAGAGUUUCUCCACAGUCCAGUCUGACCAGGAUUUCCUCUGCACCAACAAUGGAGGAGCCACGGAUGUCUCCAACUGCUUCUGUUGGUAGACUUUCACCAGCAGUGUCUUCUGUAAGAUAUUCCGGAAGGGGUUUAUCAGGAAGACCUUUCUCUGAAACAGAACUAGUGGAUGCAGCACACAGAGUGUCCUCAGUCAGGAUACCCAGUAGAGAGGAGAGUGUGAGGAGAACAGCAGAGACACCAGAGAGACACACAUCUCCCAGAGUGUUUCCUAGAUCUUCGCAAAGAGUUUCUCCACAAACCUCUCUCAUAUCAGGUACAAUUGUCAUCCAUACUCUGUAGAAAGGUCUACUAAUAACAUUGUUGGGGGUAAACAUGGGCAAAACUUGUAAGGUGAAAUGUAAACAAUAUGUGCUUAGUUUUGUGUCUCUAUCCACAGCUCAUGUUGGUGAAUCUCUGUCCGGUACAGAUAUUUCCCCACAAUUCAGUCUGCCUAGGAUUCCCUUUGCGCCAUCAAUGGACAGACCCACAUCUCCCAUCAUUUCUCAAAGAGUUUCUCUACAAUCCAGUCUGUCCAGAAUUCCAUCUGCACCAUCAAUGGAGGAGCUACUGGUUUCUCCAUCUACUUCUGUUGGAAGAAUGUCACCAGCAGUUUCAAGAAGAUCUUCAAAAAGUAGUUUAUCAGAAAGAGCUCCUUCUGAAACAAUCAUAAGAUAUUCUGAAAGCUGUUUAUCAGGAAGAGCUUUCUCUGAAACAAAACUAGUGGAUGCAGCACACAGAGUGUCCUCAGUCAGGAUACCCAGUAGAGAGGAGAGUGUGAGGAGAACAGCAGAGAUACCAGAGAGACACUUAUCUCCCAGAGUUUCUCCUAGAAUGUCUCCCAGAACUUCUCCUCAAUCCAGUCUGGCCAGGAUUCCAUCGGCACCAUCAAUGGAGGAGCCACUGGUGUCUUCAACUGCUUCUGUUUGCAGGAUUCCUCCUGCAGCAACAGUGGAAGCAGCACACAGAGAAGAGAGUGUAGCGAGAACAGCAGAGGCACCAGAGAGUCACACAACUCACAGAGUUUCUUUCAGAAUAUAUCCACAGACAUCUAAGACAAGCGUCCUUUCUGAUGUGGCAGUUUUGUACAGCCCAUCCAUGACCGCAGGGUUUCGUCUUGAGGUUUUAGACAUGGAGUGUGACCAGGUGUAUACGUCAGUGAGUGACAUCACAGCAAAAGUUCCCUCUGACACUGCUGCAAUGAAGACAAUACACAGAGAGUCCUCAGGGAGGAUACCCAGUAGAGAGGAGAUUGUGAGGAGAACAGCAGAAACGCAAACAUCUCAUGCAUCAGGUAAAUAUCAACUUUCUGAAAUAUUAUUAACAGAAACCAGACUAUUUUCUAAACAUUUUUCUUCCUAAUCGCAUAGGAGUAUUGGACAACAGCACACAGGUUUCACAAACUGCAAUCCGCCUUUGUGAAAAGGUGAGUGCCUACCCUAUAGAAGUGCAGCAGGGGACCCUGGGACUUGAAGUUUAUCUAGGAGCUUCUCCAGCCAAUGUUGUUGGGCCUCAAAACAAUAGAACUCAAAACACACGUUCACAGGGUGUGCAGACUAGUCCAGGUAAAUUUAUCCUCAGAAUACAAUAAUUCAUCUUUAAUAAUUGUUCAAUCAUAUUUUGUGUGCAUUGAAGAUAUUAGGGGAUUUUUUACCCCUCCAAUAUAUUUGUGGAAAUGAGAAUGUUCACUUUUGAUGUUGCAUUCGAUUCUCAUAUUAGAUCAUCAUGGCGAGCCCUCACAGAGCUUUCCUAUUGGAGCAGGACGCGUCACUCCUCAUGCUCAGCCUGCCCUCGAGAAUUACACCAAUCAGGUCUGGACACUCUACCACUUGGCCAAUGAGACAGAGGAGGGCACACUGUCCGCUAAAGUUAUCUCCCAGCCUCCGUACAAUGGUAGUGCUUAUAUUCGCAACUUUGGGGCUGGACAUGUGUUACUGGCUGAGAGGUCCCCUUCCCCUCAGAAAUCUGACGCCCAGUCCUGGAGUGGCCAACCCAAACAGCCCCAGCCACCACCCUUCCUAAUGAGCCCAAGAAGGGCCUUCACACACAGGGCACAGUCCUCCACCCUCCACCCUCCUCCUCUACCCCAGCCUCCAACCGUCCACAACCAGGAGAUCAGCAUCCCCAACUUCUUCAUGCAUCCCCAACUUCUUCCUGUGUCCCCAGGCAAGAUCGUUCGUAGCAUUCCGACCGCGAUGCAGACCAGGUCGAGGUCUGCUGUGGUCCGGCCAGGUGACCCCCCGGGGUACCUGUCAUUCUCCGUUCCCAUGGAGACGGUGAGCGGAGGUUCUGGUCAGGACGGUCAGGCCCAGUUCCUUCAGGUCAUCAGUGCCGAGGGGAACACUGUUUACUCUCCCGCUCUCAUAAACAUUUUCACCACAGAGGAAGAGGACCAGGAAGGAGCCAGGAGGCGGCCAACUAGUGCCCCAUUUAAUUGGUAGGGGACUGUUGUCUAGUUUAGGGUUUCCCAAACUCUGUCCUGCCCCCCCCCCCGGGCAAAACUGAGUUUGGGAAAGCCUGGUCUAGUGAGUAUCAAUAAAUACAUUUGCAUAUUAUAACAAAUGUUCUCCCUCUCAUGUAUUAAAC
Molecule: long non-coding RNA, 5857 nt
Filed under: Salmo trutta (river trout)
Lineage: Eukaryota; Metazoa; Chordata; Actinopteri; Salmoniformes; Salmonidae
Description: lncRNA (ENSSTUG00000026337.1)
Source: RNAcentral